GGAUUGAUCUCAAGUUUUCCGGAUGGGUAAAGAUAUCUUGCUCCAAUUCAGAUCACAUUUGAGGAAAAGGGGACGGGAUUACAGUUACUUGUUUGGCUUUCUUUACUUUUUCAUCUGAGCGUCACUGGUGUGUCUUAUGUAGACGAAACUCACGUAUGGCAUUUAUUUGUACUGUAGUCCUGCCAUGUAAUGUUGUCAUUUUAGUGUUAUAUUUAACAUUGCCAUGAAAGCGCAAGGUUUGGCUAGUCACAAAACCAGGUUCAAACCACAUUUUUUUUCUUAUAAUGUCCUGUACCAAGUCAGUAAAAUGGCAAUUGUUAUCUUAUAGUUCGUUUUGUUUUUUGUUGCACUUAAGUGUUUCUGUUGUUUCGUUGUUUUCCUCUUAUAGUUGAUGUGUUUACCUCAGUUUUAGUUUGUAACCAGGAUUUGAUUUCUCUCAAUCGAUUUAUGACUUUCGAACAGCGGUAUACUACUGUUGUGUUUAUUUACGACAAAUGGAAGAUAUAAGCUAUCAUGUGUGAUAUCUUCGGGAAACUGAUUUUUUUUUAAAACACGUCCUUCAAAUUAACAAAUAUGUCCUCCAUCAAGAAAUCAAGCUUCUCACUAAUGUCAGUAUCAGAGACAAGAUACUUGGAAUAUCCGUUUCACAGAUAAUAUCGUAUAUUUUCCUUAUCCCGAAGCAACAAUCCCAUUCCCUUUUCCGACAUUUGACUGGGUUCGUAAUGACAUGAGCAACAUGACGGAUGUCAAUUGUGGAGCAAGCUCUUCUUACCCCUCCGGAGCACCCGAAGUCAUCCCCCAUUUUUUUUGGUAGUGUUCGUGUUGCUUAGUCCUUAGUUUUCUGUGUUGUGUCUUGUGUACUAUUGUUUGUCUUUUCCUAUGUUAAACAGCGUUGUGUGUUUAUUUUGGAUCUAUGAGUUUGACUAUCCCUCUGGUAUCUUUGGCCCUCUUUUGUGUUUACAGUGACCAUUCCUUUUUGUUAAACAAAACAUGACCAACUAAUCGAAUGUGCCUAUCUUAACUUUGAAGUACGGCUUAGAUUUCUGAUAACAUUGAUGUUAAUAAUGGCGCUAGAGGUUUCAUGGAGUAUUUGGGAAAUCCAGAAAUACAACGUUGUUUGUCAGGACACUAUUGUAGUUCAGGUAGUUAGUAAUGGAAGAUCCAGUUCUUCAUCUUUGGUUGACAUCUUAAAGGAACAUAAAACAAGGCUAUGACUUCCUCCUUGGUAUGUUAUUGUGAAUAUAAGUUGAGUUUCAAAGCGAAUUGUCGAUAUCCAAUUCAUGUCAAUGUGUUUUAAACACAGAUACGAUGUUUAUUUGCAGAGACUGGUCAAAAUAGCACGACUUGGUAGAGUGAAAAUGUAUAACAGAUUAGUCAAAACCAUGUACACAAAAACCAUUCCACUCGCCUUUCUAAAUUCGGAGAUCAGUAUUUUUGUGAUUAAAUUUUUUCCAUAAGCCAAACAAUUCUUAGCCAUGUUGUACACGGAAAAACAACAAGCACCUGAUUUUUUGUGUAAAGUUAAAAUGUCCUUGCUACUUCCAAUAUGUUUAAGAAUGCAUUCAAACACGACUACUGGUUGGAUACGGUGGCUGAGGAAAAACAAAAAUAGUUAGCACAUUACAUUAUGUUACAGGUAUUGCGUAGAAUUGUUAAAUACUCAAUAUG
This 1668-nucleotide long non-coding RNA is filed under the name Mytilus galloprovincialis (Mediterranean mussel). The record is from RNAcentral. Lineage: Eukaryota; Metazoa; Mollusca; Bivalvia; Mytilida; Mytilidae.